Trichomycterus rosablanca is the source of this 478-nucleotide long non-coding RNA. RefSeq lists it as uncharacterized. The transcript has 4 exons. The record is from RefSeq and is a predicted model, not a curated record. NCBI's taxonomy places the organism in Eukaryota, Metazoa, Chordata, Actinopteri, Siluriformes, Trichomycteridae.
CAGAAGCGUUAUCACAUGAUGUAUUAAUGAAUGAAGAUCAGCAGAAGCAGAAGGAUGCAGGAAUACAUGAACAUGAUUAAACAUCUCCAACAGUAAACACUGAACAGUGAAGCUGAGGUCUUCCAGGCUGGAUAAGAGAGAAAGUAUGAUGGAUGAUCUUCUCUUCCUGAUGCUACAAUACAAACCUAAACCGAGUCUUUACUAACUAUAUUACAUGACCAAAAAUUCUGGUAUAGAUAUAAAAAGCUCCAACUAACAAUGAGAGCAGGACGAUGAUCUGAAAAAUCCACACCGUCACAAACACCAAAAACGCUGCUGAAAAAAAGAGAGAGAUGCUCUGUUUAAAAAUCCUCUAUAUACCAGAAUGUUCUUUAUUGGAAAGGUGAUUUGAGACCUUGGUAUACAUGCACCUGUCCCAACUUCUUUUGAAAAGUGUUACAUCUAUUACAUGUAUAAUUAGCAGAUUUCCUACAACAAA